AACGACCCCAGGUCAGGCGGGACCACCCGCUGAGUUUAAGCAUAUCAAUAAGC
This 53-nucleotide ribosomal RNA is filed under the name Agave havardiana. RNAcentral describes it as "26S ribosomal RNA". Lineage: Eukaryota; Viridiplantae; Streptophyta; Magnoliopsida; Asparagales; Asparagaceae. The record is from RNAcentral.